CUGGUUACGGUUUAGUUCGCUUC
This 23-nucleotide non-coding RNA is filed under the name Arabidopsis thaliana (thale cress). The record is from RNAcentral. Lineage: Eukaryota; Viridiplantae; Streptophyta; Magnoliopsida; Brassicales; Brassicaceae.